Molecule: ribosomal RNA, 103 nt
Filed under: uncultured bacterium
Lineage: Bacteria
Description: partial 16S ribosomal RNA
Rfam family: Bacterial small subunit ribosomal RNA
Source: RNAcentral
CUUGUACACACCGCCCGUCACACCAUGGGAGCGGGUUUCACCAGAAGUAGGUAGUCUAACCGCAAGGAGGGCGCUUACCACGGUGAGAUUCGUGACUGGGGUG